This 13922-nucleotide long non-coding RNA is filed under the name Brassica rapa (field mustard). RNAcentral's name for it is "long non-coding RNA (BRAP_LNC003046)". The record is from RNAcentral. Lineage: Eukaryota; Viridiplantae; Streptophyta; Magnoliopsida; Brassicales; Brassicaceae.
CCGACAAGCACCCACAAGAGGAAACUUUCUCUUAACAGAAAUGAUUAAAAUGGCUGCUCCCACCGGAAACACCAAUCUCUUUCUCCGGCCUCUCAUCCUCUCCCUUCUUCUUCUUGCCUCACCUUUCGUCUCCUCCGUGGAGAUCGAUUCCUCAGAUCUCAAAGCUCUUCAAGUCAUCAAAACAGAGCUAGGAGUCAACGGUCAACGCUCUUCUCUCUCUUCCAGUGAUGCUAACCCUUGCGGUCGCGGAGGAGUUUCCUGCGAGAUACGCCACUCCGACGCCACCGGAGGAUACGUUCUCCGCGUCACGAGGCUCGUAUACCGAUCCCGGAGCUUGGCCGGAACCAUCUCACCGGUUAUCGGAACGUUGUCGGAGCUCAAAGAACUCACUUUGUCUAAUAACAAGCUGGUCGGUGGUGUUCCACUGGAUGUCUUAAACUGCAAGAAACUCGAAGUCCUUGAUGUCCGAAACAACAGAUUUUCCGGUCAGAUUCCGGGAAACUUCUCUGGUUUUAUCCGUCUUCGAAUUCUUGAUCUUUCUUCGAACAAAUUCUCCGGGAAUUUGAACUUCUUGAGGAAUCUACCCAAUCUCGAGAGUCUCUCCGUUGCAAACAAUAUCUUCUCAGGCAAGAUUCCCGAGCUAGUUAUGUCCUUCCAUAAUCUCCGGUUCUUUGAUUUCUCCGGAAACCGGUUAUUGGAAAGUCCGGUUCCGGUUAUGAGUAAAAUCAAGAUAUCUCCAUACCAAACAAGACACAUUCUUGCUGAAACUCCAUCUACAAACUCAACGAAGAAACCCAACAACACCACCACCACAACAAAAGCGACAGUGUCACCUCCAAAAGACAAGAAAAAGAAAAAGAAAAAGAAGAAGAACAAAAGGAAGAUAGUAGUUGCCUGGAUCUUAGGGUUCGUCGUCGUAGGCAUAGGCGGAAUCAUCUCCGGAGUGAUCUUCAGAUUGAUCCUCAAAGCAAGAAGAGGACCAGAAAAACCAUUAAGUCCUACUAUAUUCAGCCUUUUGAUCAAGAGAGCCGAAGACUUAGCUUUCUUGGAGAACGAAGAAUCAUUAGCCUCUCUUAAGCUCAUCGGCAGAGGAGGCUGCCGAGAAGUUUUCAAAGCCAAACUACCAGGAAGCAACGGGAAGAUCAUAGCCGUUAAGAGAGUGACACAACCCUGUAGAAGCGCAACCGAGCUUGUAGACGAAGAGCCCAGGUUUCUGAACAGGUACAUGUUGCAAAUCAGGUCAGAGAUCAUCACAGUAGGUCAUAUCCGGCACCGGAAUCUUCUCCCGUUGCUAGCACACGUCCCGAGACCCGAGUGUCACUUCCUUGUCUACGAGUACAUGAAGAACGGGAGUUUGCAAGAUAUACUAACCGACGUUUCAGCUGGAAACAAAGAGCUGACGUGGCCAGCAAGGCACAAGCUUGCUUUAGGUAUAGCUGCAGGGCUUGAGUAUCUUCACAUGGAAAGUAAACCUAGAAUCAUCCACAGAGACUUGAAGCCGGCUAAUGUUCUUCUUGACGACGAUAUGGAGGCUAGAAUCACGGAUUUCGGGUUGGCCAGGGCGAUGCCUGAUGCAGUCACGCACAUUACAACCUCUACGCUUUCAGGUACCGUGGGAUACAUAGCACCAGAGUAUCACCAAACUCUCAAGUUCACGGACAAGUGUGACAUCUAUAGCUUUGGGGUGAUUCUCGGGGUGCUGGUGAUUGGGAAGCUUCCUUCUGAUGAGUUUUUCCAGCAUACCAUUACCAAUGAGAUGAGUCUUAUAAAGUGGAUGAGGAAGGUACUAACGUCGGAGAAUCCAAGCCUAGCUAUUGAUCCGAAGCUGAUGAAACAAGGGUUCGAUGAACAGAUGCUUCUUGUUCUGAAGAUUGCUUGUUACUGUACUUGGGAUGAUCCUAAACGGAGACCGAACAGCAGAGAAGUCAAGAUUAUGCUGUCCCAGAUCAAGCACUAGCUAGUUUCUCUCUAUGAUAUGUAGUGUACAUUCCCUGUCUUAUGAAAUAACUAGAUUUUGACCCGAACUUUCGUGCAGAAAUUUUUUCAUUUUAUAAAUGUAUUUGAUAGUAUUACAAAUGUUUUACAUAUAUAAUUUUCAUUUUAGUGUUAUAUAUUUUGUAACUCUACAAUAUUAUUGUUUAUAUUUAGUAUUUGGCAUUAUUAAUAUAUAGUAAUUUGUUUAAUGCAUUUUACUUUGUUAUUAUUUUUAUUAUUUACGAAUAUAUUUUCAAGUUAGGUACAAUAAAAUAACAAUCUGAAAUAAUUAAAUAGAGAACUUCCUUCAAAAUAUGAUUUUUCUUUAAUUUAUACAUUUUGCAUAUAAUAUAUUUUUAAAAUUUAUUUAUUUAUAUUUAAAUAGAGAACUUCCUUCAAAAUAUGAUUUUUCUUUAAUUUAUACAUUUUGCAUAUAAUAUAUUUUUAAAAUUUAUUUAUUUAUAUUAUAGAACAUAUAUUUGUUUAAGAUAAUGUAUAUUUACAUGUGUUUUACAGAUAGUGUUUUACAUAUGGCUCAUAGAAAGAGGGUGAUGCAUUUUCAGGACAAGGUUAGUUCAGCACCUUAGAAGAAUUUGAUGGAUUGUUGGGACCGAGGAAUGUUAGGGCUAGUCUCUCUGCCAUUCAUGCGGAAAUGGAAGCGCCACUAUGGGCAACGAAAUGUAUGAGAAAUUUACGUCAAUUUCAAGCUACAUUUUCAAUGGAUUGUUCUCAAUUGGUGAAGAUGGUUUCGGAACCAGAAGAAUGGCCAGCUUUUGCAAAUUAUUUGGAAGAUGUCAAGAUCCUGAAAGAGAGUUUCACCCGAUCAGAGAUUAUCUAUGUACCAAGGACGCACAAUUCAAAGGCGGUAGACUAGCACGCAAUGUUAGGAAGCAACCGUCUUUUGUCGUUCACAUGGAUUAAGAUCACCCGGUUUGGUUUAAAGAGUCAGUAUGAAUCUGUAUACGUUGAUGACAAAAAAAAUGUAUAUUUACAUGUUGUAAGAUAAUUUAAUAUAUAUCAUUUUAGUAUUUUACGAGAUUUAUAAGUAAAAACACUGUUUUUUUAAAUAAUAUAUUAUUUUAGUAAAUUUUAUACAUAGUAAUAAAAUAUUAUUUUAGUAAAUUUUAUACAUAGUAGCAUCUAUCAUAUUAUUUUAGUAAGUUUUCUUAAUAUAGGAUAUUUUUGGAUGUUAUGAUAUUAAGUUUUCUUUUCUUUUUUUAAUUAAUAUUUCAAUAUAUUCGAUUAAUUUAAUUUUUACAACAUAUAUAGUUUUUUUCAUGGUGCAUUUCAAAAAUUUAUUCAUUAUUAUCUAUGAUUUUAUCUUUUGUAAAAUUUGAAAUAUUAUCAUUUUGAGUUUGAAUAUUUACUUUCGAAAUUGUAUAUUUUGUUAAGAAAACUUUGAAAAAUUACACAACUAUUUUUGAGUUUGGAAGAUUACACGAAUUUUGAAUUUUUUUUUGUUACCUCAUUAAUAUAUUACUAGAUGAUAAUAUGCACGCAUGCGCGGGUGAGUUCUUAUAAUAAUGUUUGUUUAUGAAAUGAUGUUAACAUUUUGCAACACUACAAUCUUUAUCGAUUAUAAAAUGAUGAAUACAAAUGUUGGUCUCUUAAAUAUAUCAUUGUUGUUGAAGAGUUAACGUAUUACAUCUAAUUUUAAUUAUUUUUAAGACUUCAUAUGGACAAAAGAAAAUUAAGUUUUGCGGCUGACACAAAUCACCAAAACCAAAUAUGCAACAUCGAUUGUAUAAUGACGAAAGGGAAUUAGGUUUUCUGCUCUCGAUUUUUGUACUGUUGACUCUCCAUAAGUGAUUUCAUUUUCUACCUCUAUAGAAUCGUGUUUUUGUUCUCGUCUUUGUUUAAUUGAUAUGAGUUAAGUUUCCUUUUUAACUUAUUUUAUGAAUUCAGUGAAUUACAUAAGUGUCAAUUAAGAAAAAUAGACAUCUGUAAAAAUUAGUUUCACUCUAUAUUUAUAUAUCUAAGAAUCAAAAUUUUGAAAAAAAAUCAUCGGCAAACUAUAUUAACAGGUUAGUGUUCAAAUCUAAUAUAUCAAGCUGUUAUAGAAUAUAAGUGCAGACUCGAAAUAUAAAUGUUUGUCCAAUAUAUAUUCACCAGCUCGGUCUAAAAAUCAUCUAAUUAGAACAACAAAACAAAUUACUUAUUUCACCAGUUCGGGUAAUAUCUCAAUCCGAACGGGGAAUAUCCAAACCAGAAUGGAUAUCCGAAGAUAACCAAACAUAAGUAUAUUUAACUCUAUAUUUCUAGUUUAUUUUUCUCAUUUUAUUCAAAGUAUUUAUAUUAAUGAUUCAUAUUGCUCAAAAUAAGAUAAUAUACAUAUAAUUAUGGACAAAAUCAUUUGCUACUCACUUAAAAUACAUAUCAAGUUCUUGUUUCUUGCAAUAACAAAAGUUGCAUCUACAAUUUCAAAACAACAACUAAAUUAGUGUCUUUCUAUUUUUAAAGUUUUAUCUCCAAACCUAUUAAUAGUUUAAUCUUUUAAAAAUUAAAAAAAAAACAGAUAAGUUAAAAUAUAUUUUAAAUACAAAAACUUAAAAAAUGAAUAAUUGAUUUAUUUUUUCUUUAAAAUUUAAAUAUCCGAACCCGAUCCAAAAUAUUCGAACCCGAACAUAAAAUACCCGAGCCCGACUCGAAGUGUAGAAAUACUCGAAUGGGUUCUAUACUUUUAUACUGAAAUAUCAUAUACAAACACGAACGUUUAUCCGAACGCCCACCCCUAUGAUAUGAUCAUUUGUAUCUUGGUUGAACAAAAAAAAAUUAAACCAUUGAUCAUAAAAAAUUAAUGUGGGACUUUUACCAUUUUUAGUAAUUUAUAGUCAUUUUUAAAAAUUCAAAAUAUAACCUAUAAGAAAAAAUCUAAUUUUUUAUUAUAUGCUUAGUGUGAUUGUUUAAUUUCUUUUAAUAGUAUAAAAUUAAACAAAAAAAGAGAGGUUAGAAUUUUUUUUCAUCAAAUAUGUAUUAUUCAUAAUCAUUAAUUGUCAUAUAUAUUUGUUAACCAUAUUAGGUAUUUCCGUAGCCUUUAUUUUCAGAAAAGAAAAAUAUUCUUUUGUACACUAUUAAUUAAUUUGAUUGUUAGUUUACAAAAAGCAUAGUAUAUAUUUUAUAUGGACCAACUUAUUUUUCUAACAAUUCUAAGAAUCAUUCUCGUGAUGACACGUGACUACGAAAAUAUGUUGUAAUACUCUGAGAUUAAUAUAUAGGGGAUUUUAUAAAAAAAUAUAUGAAUUUUUAGUAAUACUUUCUAAAAUUUUCUCACCAGAUUUUGUUAUAAUAAAAAAAAAAUUAUAGCUACAAUUUGAUUUUAAUUAAUAUUUUAAAUGAAUUAUUAAAAUUUUAUAUAUUUCUAAUAACAUAUUAUUUUAUACUAUUAUAUUUUUUAUAUAAGCAUUUUAAACAAUAUAUUGUUGGGAGUUUCAAAAUAAAUAAAAGGAUAUCAUAUUGUUGUAGAUAUAAAGGUUUUACCUAUGUUAAUAAAUUUAUUUUUGUAUCAAAACAUUAUUUAGCUUACGAAUUUUAACUCAUUUUUAAUGAUAAGUGAUAAUUUAUUAAAAUGAAAUAAUUUUAAUAAAAACUUUGUUAAUUUACCUAUUGAAUAUAAUUUUGUCAUAUUUAAUUCCUAAAUCAAUUCAAUUUUUAUAUAAUACAUAAUAUAAUAUAAAAAACUAUAAAAUAUAGUAUAGAAUUUAUAUUUUUUUUGUUUUAGAAUAAAAUUUUAAUUAACAUUGAUUUGUAAUAAUAUUUUAUUACUAAUUACGAAAUUAAUUAAUGUGUUAUUUUAUAAAAAUAUUUAUAUUUUUAGUAAGAUUUUGUUACAUUCUUUUUCAAGAUAUUUUGUUACAAUUGAAAAAAUUGAAAUUUAUGGUUGGUUUAUUAUUAAUGUAAAUAAUCUAAUAUGUCGUAUUAACUAAUCUUUUGAAUGAUUUUACUAUGACUUGUUAAUAGUAGAUAAAAAUAUAAUCAUAAAUUAACAUAUUACUAGAUUUUGAUCCGCGCUUGGAAAGCUCGGAUUUUUGGAUUAUAUUAUAAUACAAAGUUUUAUUAUAUCAAAAAUAUAACUUUUAACAGUUAUAUAAUCUAUGAAUUAGUUUAUUUGAUAUUUUAUAUGUACACUUUUACGUAAAUUUCUUUUACGCAUGAAAAUUAUAUAUGGACCAAAAAAACAAACCGAACCGACCCGAAAAUAUAGGUAUAGUUCAGGUCCAGAGAAGAUAACAUAUUUGGGUUUUUUUUGGAACCGUAUGUCUUUGUUUGAGUCCGGGUCCUACCUUAGACCCGAUCAUAAAUAUGUUGUGUUUAUUAGGUAUAUUUAGAUAUUUCAAAUAUGUUUCCAGCAUUAUUUUUUUUAGAUUUUUGGUUCACGAUUAUAGUUUUUUGAUUUCAGGUAAAUUUUUAAUGUAAAAUUUUUUUUGGGUAUUUGGAUAAAAUUUUGGGUAUUUUCAGUUCAGUUACAGAUUUUGAAUAAGAUUUUAAAUUUUUAGGAAUUUGAAUUUUUUUGGCUAUUUAUUUGGAGUUUCAAGUACUUUUCGUGUUCCAGAUAUUUUUCAUAUUUUUUAGAUAUUUCAAAUUUUCUUAGGAUCCUAAAUACCCGAACAGAUGUGGACCCAUUACGUCCAUAUCGGGUCCAACAACUUUUUGAUAUAGAUUUUUAAUGUUAUUGUACAAAAACAUGGUUGAUGAAAUAUUUUUAGAAAAUUCAUUUUUAAAUAUGAAAAUAUCUAUCAAACUAUAGACGGUUGAAAUUUUAGUAUAUAAUAUGGGAUUUUAGUAGGAAAAUUUAUAUAUGAUAUGAUUACGUUAUUAUAAAGGAAAUAGGAAGUUAGAAUGUACACAUAUAUGUCGUGUAACUUCUCUUGCUUUAAAUCAUAUAUUAUAUGAUAAAAGUGAUAAUAUAAAACAUUAGUUUCAAUGUUUUUAUGAUUAAAAGUCAAAAUGGUAAAUAUAGUAAUAGUAAUGAUUAAGAUGUAGGAGUGAUAUUUGAAUAAAUAAAGGAAUUGAAUAAAUUAUUGUUAGAGAAAUACAUGGUAACAUAUUGUUAGUCUAAGUUUAAGGUAAGACCAAGAAAUAAUGAGUUAAAUGAAAGGGUCCAAACAACUUUAUAGGUAGAUUUUUUAAGACUCUUUCCCUUUUAAUAGUAUUGAUAUUACACGUGAAUGCUAUAGUGUUCGCUUGGCAGAAGCCUGUGAUGAAGAUGUAUUAUUAAAAUGGAUUUUAAUCUUGUUUUAUUAAACAUAAACCAUUCAUCUUAUACAAUAAGCUUAGCUAUCUAGACAAAGAAACGUUUUGUCUUCUCUAUAACUAUAAGCAGCCGUUUGAGAAUCUCCCUCAGAUUUUUUAGCUGUUCAUGACUGCCUUCAUGUUCUUCACACUAGAAAAUAAUAAAAACUGAGUCAACACAUGUUGAGAUGCAUAAACUUGUAGUGAGAUCGACAAACAAUGUCAAUUGAGUUUUCCUUUGCUACAGCAAGAGCAGUGAGCUGUUUACCCUUAAACAGAAAAAUGAAGAACAAUGUGUAUCUCAUCAUCAUAGUACCUCAAUUUUAAAUUUGGAGCUUUUGUGUAUUUAAACUCACCUCUUGAUGAGACAGGAAAACAACCUCCCAUGAGCAUUUUCAAAUGGCCCAGCUUCAUACACCGGCUUCACCGGCCAGCGGAAGUUCUCCACCUGUUAUUUACUUUAUAUUUAUGUGUGUGGAGGCAAUGGCAGGUGAAUUAAACUUUUCCAAAUAUAUUAUAUCAAUUGUAAUAUCAUAUUGUUCAUCUAUCAAAAUACUAAGAUUCAUGUAAUUCUUUUAUUUGAAAGCAAGAAAAACAUUAUAUGUGAUUAAGUUUUGAUAUAAAAAAAAAGUAACUAUUGUAGUACAUGAAUAAAUAAUGGUGUUGAAUUUUUUUUUAAAAAAUAUUUAAUAAAAUCAUUUUACACUGUUAAGUGUGGUUUUAUGUAAAACCACAACUGGCUGCUGAACGACGUAGUGCGUUUAAAAGAAGAGUAGUGAUUUACAUUUAAAGGCAGUUUCUGAGUUUUUAUUACACUAAGAGACAGUUUCAACUACUGAGGUAGUUUAUCUCAACUAAGAUAUAACGAGAAAGUGAGUUUUUCAACUAGUGGGACCCAUCAGUUUUUCUUUCUUCUUCUUCUUUUAUCGUUGUUUUUUUUUUCUAGUCAAAAAUAAAGUUAUCAUCUCUUAAUCUUUCCAAACAAGAAGAAGAAGACAUGAAGAUCUCAAACACUUCAAACCCGUUAUAAUAUAUACCGCCAGAAUCCUUGUGCUCUUCAGUUCAUCUCCCCUUGUGCUCUUUAACUCAUCUUUCUUAACAAAAAAACUCACUAUUUUUGAAAUCUGAACUUGAAAAAUAUUUUAUAAAUGAUAAAACUACGAUCUUGAAGUGUAACAUAUAAUUAAAACGUAAAAGAAUGAACGAUUAUGUGAAAGAAAUCAAUGGCGGCCGUAAAAAUUUUGGAGAAACCCCUAAAAUUCUGGGGAAGACGAAGACAUAUUUACUAAAAUGCCACUGAUUAAAAAAAAUUGAAAAAAAACAAAAUAUGUACACAUUCAUGGGUCGUACACAUGGAUAAUAAUGUAUAUGUACACUAAGGUGUUUACGUGUUUAACAUUUACUUAUAAAAUUACAACUAUGUACACUAUUUUACCAAAUAUAUUGCAUUCACAUGUGUUCUGAUAUUGAUAAGUUUGAACAUGUCCAAAUAGUGUACAUAUGCCCAAAGCAAAAACCUUUGUACAUGUAUACAUAGUGAGAGAUCUUUAGAUAUGGUGUAAUAUUGGUAAAUUUGUACAUGUACUUGGUAAGUGUCCAUAUGGGCAACAUGGAAACCUCAUACAUAUGUACAUGGAGCUAAACUUGUAGUUGUGUUUUACAUGUGGAAUGUACAUUACAUAUGUGUAUAUGUGGACAUUAAACAAUGAUGUUGUGUAAUAUUAGUAAAUAUGUACAUGUUACAUGUUCAGUGUCCAUAUGGAUAACGUAGGAAAAACUAUUUGUACAUGGCGCUAAAGUUGUGGUAGGUUUUGGUUGGAGGGGGGGGGGGGGGAAUGUACAUUAAAUAUGUGUACAUGUGGACAUCAAACAACGCUGACAAGAAAAUGCAUGAAAGAAACCGAUGUAUGCGUUUAGUUCAAUUAAAAUAACGAUUGGAUAACCGCAUGUACACAUGUACGCUAUUAUACUUUAAGAUUCACAUAAUUACGUUUUGACCCCAAACUUUUCAAUUCAUUUUCAUUAGGCGUGUGUACGAAAAAGUGUAUUAGCGUACAUGUGUACAGAACAUAUGGUGGUGUACAUAUGUACGAGAAAUAUGAUAGUGUACAUAUGUAAAACAACCAUAAAUUAAUCAAGCUAAGACCUACCAUGAAGCUAGCAUGAAAACACACACAUUAAUCAGAGCAAGGAUGAUAUUUAGGUUCAGUCAUACUUCAAGGAUGCUCAACCCUCCGUUUACAUGGGAAGAAGGAAAAAAGUUCACAUGUACAUUAUGUUAACAUUAAGUGAGUUCAUAAAGUCGCAGAAGCUUAAUUAUUUAGAUAGAAAACCUACAAAAAGUCAAAAAUGUGUACACAAUCACUUUGAUGUAUAAUACAAAAUUAAGUGUACACAUGUAUAGUUUGAAUGUAAUGUACACAUAAUUUUUCUUUUUUUUCAUAAAUGUUGCAAAAUUACGAAAAUAACUUCAUCUUCUUCCUUAGCCAUUGUCGACCAGAAACCAUGAUCUCCGCAUAUCUCGCAUGUUUUCUAUGAUUCUUUGUAUUCUCAACUUGUUUUUUAUGUAUUUUUAUCUAGAUGUGAUAGUUUUCAAGAAACAUUUACAGUCUAAGAUACAUUUCAUCUUAUUAUUACACUCUAUGACACAUUCUACUACACACACACUUUCUUCAACCAUUACAUUCAUUCUUAACUAAAUUAAUUCACUUUUAGUUCAAUUAUAAAGACUGGUUUUAAUAAAAAUAAUAGAAGUGGCGGGAUUCAACCACAACCAUUGAUCUGUUUUCUAUUUCGACGGCCAAGAUCUUUUUUUCAUAGAUCUGGAUUAGACAUAUAUCUAUCUGAAACCUAAUCCAUUAAAUCAACAAAGCUAAAUUUAUCAUCUUCAUCAUCUUCGUGGCUUUUAAUUUUUCUUCUCUGGCAAAGGUUUUUCUUUUUGUUUAGUAAAGAGAUGCAACAAAUUAUUUCUCUCACAAAAAUGAUUUGAGUUUGGAGUGUGCAAUGUCGACAACGACGGAGACAUCGAUAUAGACAACGGCGAAAAUGUAGACAACAACACAAACAACAUCGAUGAUGGAAACAUCGACAUAGAUGAAGAUGGAAACGUAGUCCACAUCAAUAUAGAUGACAAGCAAACCCCAAGGCAUCUCCUCCUUCUUGCUCUGUUGCGAUCCUUUCUUGAUUUCAUGUUCUGCCCGUGACAAAAGAUCUCUCCGGUGAACCCUUUUGAUUAUGUACCAUCUAAAUAUCUGUUAUGUUGCAUAUGUUUUAAAGGACGAAGACGAUCUCCUUUCAUCAAAGUAAUUUUCUUUUUAUGUUUAUUUCUAUUGGAUAAGAAAUUCUGACAAAAAAAAUUAGCUGAAAGAAUCUUUUUGUUCUUGUUAAUAGAAAAUAAUUUUUUGUUCAUGAUUAUGUAUGCGAUGAAUUUUGUAUGGAGGAGAUUAAGAAAUGGAUGUAUUUUUUCUUGUUAAUGGAAAAUGAUUUUUAUUCUUGGUCAUCAUAGGAGCAAGACUAUCCACAACCCAUGUCUUCUUGCUUUUUUGUUGUACACAUGGAAUUUGCACUUUUGUUAGUGAAUAUUAUAAUGUUGAAGUUUAGAAAAAGUUUAUAACAUGUUAGAGUCUUGUUAUGUUAGAGUCUUGUGUACAUAAUUUUAUGAGUUUUUAAUAUGUGUACACAUGUACACUAUAACUUCUAAGUACAUAUGGACAUCAAAUAUGUGUAUUGUUUUACCAUGACUAUAAAAUGUGAUUUUCUAUAAUAUUCCAUGUACUUGUUACUCAUCAAUUCCAUUUAUUCUUAUACAUAACAUUUUUCAUGUAUUUUAACAUUUUCUGUACAUGAUAUAGUUGUCAUUAUAUCUAGGUUGUCUACGUUAAUUGUGUCUAUGCUUUGUUGUCCAUAUAGACCUCUUAAAUAAUAUUCAUGCAUAAACUAGCUUUCCAGACAUCGUACACGUUCUCAUGUGCAAAUUGAAUUUUUUUUCCAAAACAAGAACCAUGUUGAUCAUUUUACAAUAAAAAAUAUCACUGUUCCAUACUCCCCAACCAUCUUUCUAUAUGUUGGAAGAUUGGUAUUAUUACACAUAAAUUGGAAGGUUAAUUUUGUGUAUAUGUGAAUAGCAUUACAUCAGUGUACACAUGGAUAUCGUUAUAGUGUUGUACACAUGGAUAUUGUUCUCAUAUGUACACAUGAGUAUUGUUCUCACGAAUAUCUAUUACAUUCAUCCAACACAAAAUACAUCUAGUAAUACUACAUACAACUAUCUAACAUAAUGCAAUCAAAUUUUUGAAGUCAUAAAAAUACAUAUUUGUGGCUAUAUUGCAAUCUACGGGUUCUUGAUCUCUAAUGUCCAUAUGUACACACUCUUUCUAUUGUCCAUAUAUGUACACACUUUUCUAAUGUCCAUAUGUACACACUCUCUUGUGUACACUUAUUUCACUCAUUAUACAGAUGGUUGGUUUAAACAAUAUACGUUCACCCCAUCAAUGAAAAAUGUGAUCCAAUUUAUAAUAAUGUUUUAAAUGCUUCUCAAUGUAAAAAGUAUUCGAAUAAAAAAUAAAAAAAUGAAUUUGCAAUGGAGUAGAUUGGUAUUGCUAUAUUGUUGAAAAGUUUACAUUUUUGUGUACAUGUGAAUAUCAUUACAAUGGUGUACACAUGGAUAUUGUUCAUAUGUACUGGCUCCUACACCAACAAACACAACAUAUACAUGUCAACCUAUCAACAAGAAUACUUAUUAUGUACAUAUACACGCAUGUACACAUGUACAAAAUCUUGGUUGUUCACAUAUACACACCUGUUGGUGUACAUCCGACCACAGCUUUGUCAAAACACCAAAAUUAGCAACAAGCUUCGACAUUUUUUUCCAUUCACCGCUCCCUCUUCAGACUGCACCAUCUCUGUAAAACAAGCAGAAAAAAACUUAGAGCACUUAGAAAUCUAGAACCGCACCCCUAAAUUGAAACCCUAAUCUACAAAUCAAAACUGUAAUGGGAGUUUUUCAAAAAUUUAGAACCGCGCCCCAAAUCAAAAUCCUAACACCUCACGUCGAGGCUCUUACCAAACUCGAAAAAUUGGCUAGGCAAAAAAACACACCUUCGUCGAUCCGCUCGUCGUCAUCUCCACCGGUCAAAGGUUCACUCGUCUGAAACCAGAAACGCCUUCGUCUUCUCUUUCCAUGCUCGCUUCUUUAUCCUGGUCAUUCUUAAUUUCGCCUGAAUCCACCAUUAAAGCCCCCUCGUCAGUAACUUUUAUCGCCGUAUUCUCUCCCGUAAACAAAAAUUAGGAUUAGUUGAGAGAAUUAGUUAAUUAGAUUAAUUUCACCUUUUUACGGACCCAGGUCUAUUUAUUAACCGUCCCAAAUUUUUAUUCGCGUCCACCAAUACAAUUCUGUCUUUUUUCAAAAUUUAAACCUACUUGCAAACCUAACCAGAAAAAUGGUCUUUUACUCAUAUACCCAUGUCUCGUUUUGUUUUUCAUAGGACAAAAGGGUCUUUAACCACCUAAAUGUGUCUCAGUAGCAAAAUAUGUUCUCUGCUGUAAUAAAAACACAUAAAGUGUAUUUAUGAAAAUAACUCUUUAGUUAGUGUAUGAGUGAAAAUGAAAUUUAGUUAGAAAAAAGUGUCUGAGUAGUGAUAAGUGUCUUAUUGUGUUAAUAAAACUCAUAAACUGCCUUUCAUUGUAAUUCUUUCAAUUUGCAUGUAUAAAAAAGUAGUGAUUUAUUGCUUUUUGUCUUUAUUUUGGUAAACUGCGUUUUUCAACUGAUAUGCAUAAUUGGUGAUACUUGCUCAAUUAGGCAUUUCUUAUUGUAAUUACGCCCGCAUCGCAGUUACCAAUCACUACCUUACUAUUAGAUUAUUACUAGUCUAUCAGCGUUUGGUUUGCAUUACCAAUUUUUACAUGCUAUUUCUUCUUUUCAUAAAAUACUUGGUUUACACAUCUUCCUGUACCAUUCGAAGCCGAUGUCUCUUUCCAACGACUUAUUACACACUCACCGCUCAGAAUCUUAAAAAAGACAAUGAACUUGUCGACGUUAAACGCUAAAGAGGGUGACUAUAAAACAAGAAAAUGUGUGGAACAUAGCAACAAUAAGUUCUAACGUGUAUAAAUCAAAAGGGUGGCCCCCUGUGGAACCCGACGCAGAGUAGACUUUGACUUAUCAACUCUCAAGUCAAUAACAGACUCGCUACGUUCACAUUUUCUAAACAGUUAUUUGCCCAUACUAUUAUUUCCAGGAAAUAAACACUCAAUCAUACACUUCUUAGAAAAUAUCCAUUUUUUUCGUAUACAUAUUUUAUAUAUUUUGAAGAUAUUAAAUUGAAUUUAGCAAUUCUAUUUAUAAAAUAUCUUUGGACCAAUUUUCAAAGUAUUGAUUAAUUCUUUAAGGAAAAAAAGAAAACCGUAAAACACGUAAAGACUUUUCUAUAGAUUAGUGGUAGUUGCUGACCAUAAAUAAACAGAGUAAAAGAUUCCGACAAGCACCCACAAGAGGAAACUUUCUCUUAACAGAAAUGAUUAAAAUGGCUGCUCCCACCGGAAACACCAAUCUCUUUCUCCGGCCUCUCAUCCUCUCCCUUCUUCUUCUUGCCUCACCUUUCGUCUCCUCCGUGGAGAUCGAUUCCUCAGAUCUCAAAGCUCUUCAAGUCAUCGAAACAGAGCUAGGAGUCAACGGUCAACGCUCUUCUCUCUCUUCCAGUGAUGCUAACCCUUGCGGUCGC